UAGCUUAUAUCUCAACGGUUAGAGAGUCUGAUUGAUAAUCGGAAGAUAUAGGUUCGAUUCCUAUUAAGCUAA
RNAcentral lists this transfer RNA (72 nucleotides) under Candida maltosa. RNAcentral describes it as "tRNA-Ile". It matches the Rfam family "tRNA". Rfam says of the family: Transfer RNA (tRNA) molecules are approximately 80 nucleotides in length. Their secondary structure includes four short double-helical elements and three loops (D, anti-codon, and T loops). Lineage: Eukaryota; Fungi; Ascomycota; Pichiomycetes; Serinales; Debaryomycetaceae. RNAcentral also lists the same sequence under 1 other name. The record is from RNAcentral.